GAUGAAGAACGUAGCGAAAUGCGAUAAGUAAUGUGAAUUGCAGAAUUCAGUGAAUCAUCGAAUCUUUGAACGCACCUUGCACCCUUUGGCAUUCUGAAGGGUAUGCUCGUUUGAGUGUCAUUGUACUCUCACACUCCCGAUCUUUGCAUUGGGAGCAGUGGACUUGGGUUUGCUGCUUCACCGUCGCUUACCUCAAAUAGGUUAGUGCAACUCUUGGUUGGACAUAGUACGGCGUGAUAAGUAUUCUUCGCCGGUGCCUCGCAAAGAGGGUGGCCGAUCGGGAUGUUGUGCUCCAAACCGUCUUCGGACAAUCUCUGACGACUUGACCUCAAAUCGAGUAAGACUACCCGCUGAACUUAAGCAUAUCAAUAAGCGGAGGA
Molecule: unclassified non-coding RNA, 380 nt
Filed under: soil metagenome
Description: partial contains 5.8S ribosomal RNA, internal transcribed spacer 2, and large subunit ribosomal RNA
Rfam family: 5.8S ribosomal RNA (bases 1-120)
Source: RNAcentral